AAUCUAUUCCUUAGUAUCCUUACUUUGAUAACAAGGUAUAUAUUGUUUUAAAACACUCUGUAAAUAAACCUGGCAAGUAAAUUAAUCUAGCGAGGAAUAUUUGAAUUCAUAUUUCGACUUGUUUUAUCAGCAUCAAUGUUAUUUUCGUAAUUCGAAGUUGGGCCGUAGUUUCAAAAAGAAGGUAAUAUAGGACAGUUCAUGUGGCCUGCUUUGCGAGUUAUACAAAUCCUCUUACCUGUUAUACAGUCCAACCCACCUCGAAAUUAUAGUGUUCUUUGUCCUUAAUCUAAUAGUGAUGUGCGACGCAUGCGCAAUAAAAUUUUGGAGUCAAGCCGAAAGUGCAAUUUGUGCAGAGCAGAGCAUAUGACUGAAACAGAAUUGAAGAAAAUGCAUUGUUGUUAAAUAGAUAUGAAAAAAGUCUACUCAUCUAUUAAAAUAGAAGUAUGUGUUUAUAAGGAAUGGGGUUGUUAAAUAGUAAAGAACCUUGGGCUGGCAGAGUAUCAUAUUACUCUGAGGUCGACACAACUUUAGACGGCAUCAGUCGUACUAGUCGAACUAUACUGAACGAAAGAGAACUGCUGGAAGAUUCGAGAGAGAGCAUAUUACUAGUCCAAUCCUACAUAGUUCCACUGAUCAAUUUCACAGGAACAUGUUGGUUGUUCUAUCACAGAUUCGUCGUAUUUAAAACGAACAGUUGGUGGUGGUCGAUAGAGAAGAAUGCUAAAGAAAUAAUAAUACAAAGGAGCAAGAAUGAAACAGCAGUUAGAGACAAAAUUCUGGGCGAGAAAAGAAGUAAAGGGGCCCAAAUAACACUAGAACUAAAGGAUUCUUCAAAUGUUAAUGUAAGAGCCCUUUUAGAGAUGCUGGAUGUAAAUAACGAGACAUUCAAAAAGUAUGAUGUGCGUAGAAGCAAUUGUCAAGUGUUUGGAAAGCGCACUUUUGAAUACCUCCGGAAAACGCGAGAUGUGAAAGAUAGCGUUUGAAGAUGUAAAAUACAGAAAGCACUCAUAUAUGUCAGAUAUAAGGACUGUGUACCAUACUCAGUUGUAUGUCAGUGGUAAGAUUGUUUAUAGAUAACGACAACUUCAAGCAAACCAAUAAACAAAACAGCUAGACAUAUUAUAUUUUAUACUGUUUUGAGGUUUGCUAAUUUCAGAAAGGAGACUGGGUAUAUUUACAUUAAUGUGUGUUAACUGUGUACAUAUUAGAGAGAAAAUGAUAAAACAUCGCCAAAAUAAGCGCCAACUAGAAGUGGCUAUAGAUUAUGUAACGACUUACUAACAUACGUUACUGAAUAUGCCAUAAAACCUUAAAAACGGAUUUUAUCAAACAAAUUCCUGGUAUUUUCUCAUCAAUUUCAUUUUAGAUUACUGACACAAAGUAAGUGAAUUUGACAUUUAAUAGAAAAGAACUUUCCCUUUAAUCUGAUAAACGGUUACAUUGUUAUACUUCAAGAUAAUAUAACUACUAGUUGGUUGUACAAUAAUUUUGUAACUCACACCCGUUUUAUGUGAUAUUUGCCUUUUCAGUACUUAUCUUCAUUACAAACGCGACUUUGUGCGAGAGGGGUAUUUCUAAAGCUUUUUGAUGGGUAGUUAUAUUUCGAGUAAACUUUUCAAAUGCAAAAAGAAAGCAUAUUGGAAUGAAAAUUUUUAAUUUGUUUAGUUUGAGGUGUUUUCAUUUGAAAGGUGGCACGUAUGUAUAAUUUAUUAAAGGAAAACUUUGGUGAAUAUCAGCCUUAAAGAAAGCUCUUUGGUAAAAAACCAAACCAACUGGAAGGAGGCGGAUCUCUCGUUGACAAGACAAAGUCCAAAGGCUUUUGGCAAAAAAGGUAAACUUGACGAAAGGAAGACAGUCGAUCCACAGGAAAAUGUUUCUUAUGACGUUACACACGUCAUAGAUAAAGAUAAUGUGUUUAUUAGAUAUAAAACAUACUAUAAAACGUUUAGUCAAAUUGUGGUGGACUUUUUUUCUGAUAAAUUGAAAAUAUAUAUUUAUUAUUAUUAUUAUUAUUUUGUCCUUGCCGCACCGAGAUUUGUUGAUUUCUUUCUAUCAUAAUAAUGACUUUACAUAUAAUUGUAUACGACCCGACAACUUCCCUAUUAAACAAAGAAGGUUGAAAAGUGUGUGCUAUUGACGUCAAAAUUAUUACGCUGGAAAAGAAACUAAAAGAAAACAUGCAAAUAUUUGAAGGAUGUCAUCAAGGAUGUAGUCUACUUGGUAACGUGUUAGAAUCGAAAUAAUAUAUCUUAUUUAGUGAUUUGCUCUUGAAUAAAAUCAUUUUUUGCCGUCCAGGUGCGUAUUGUUUUAACACGCAGGCUGCGUUCUCGUGGUAUGAUUCCUUCGUAUCUGAAUCACAAACAAUGAUUUUAUCCAACGACAAAUCACAAAAUGAGCUUUUUAUUAUGCCCCCUCCCCCAAAGGAGGGAUAUAUUGUUUUUGUCGGUCGGUUGGUAUAUAGACCAAUCGGUUUCCGGAUGAUAUUAAACUCAAGACUGCUUGGGCCUAGGAUCAUAACAGUUGAAAGGGUAAAUGGUCAUAACCAGCAGACGACUUCUUUUGAUUUUGAGGUCAACAGAUCAAAGAUUUAGGUCACAAUACCCGUAAGAGUUAAACGGUUUCAAGAUGAUAACCAAAGAACGCUUUGACCUAGAGUUAUAAAUGUUGACAGGGAGAUUGGUCAUGACCAGCAGAUGACCCGUAUUGAUUUUGAGGUCAGUAUGCCAUAGGUGAAUGUCACAGUGACCCGAAACAACGAUAAUACCGAGGUCACCUAUGACUGGUAAAUUACUGAUUUGAGGUCAUUAAUUGUUCAGUGCACAGUGAACAUAUAUUUCUGUUCCUUACGCAGUUACCGAAUGCAUCAAGGGGUGGGGGAGGCAUUUCGUGUUCUGCGAGCUCUUGUUCCUACUGAUCUUGCCAUGGUAUUUUUUAAUUUAGAUGUUCUCACCAUUAGUUAUCUAUACACAAUGGCAGAUUUAUUAAUAUUCCCUGAAAAGGUCUUGGUAAUUCAAAUAUUUUGGGUGAUGAAUUCCAUUAUCUAUUUAGUUGCACACACUUUAAUGACUUUAGAAGAAAAGUUUAAUUUCAGCACCCGAAUUCUAUUAAGUUUCCUACGCAAAUGAAAAAUGAUAGUAAGGAUACUCUGUUGAAGCUUCCAUUUUUUUUACAACAAAAAUUGUUAGCAUGAUUGUAGUAGUGUAGGAAAUAUGUGCUAUAUGUUCAUGUAUUUUCUAAAUGCUAUUAAUGAUUUUUUUUUCAUGGAAGGUUUAAUGAUUAAGAAUAACAGUUAUCUUUUAUAUUCUGCAAUAUAAAUUAUAAUCUUGCACGGUUUCUUCCAUGUUCAUGUAUUUUUAUUUCGUAUUUCCAAGGAAGACAUUGUACUUGAACUAAGAUGAACAUUUAUGAACUUCACUUCAUCCAUUCAUCUUUAUCUUGUGUAAAAAAAUUAUUGUCCAUUUCUUAAAAUUAUUCCGCUAUGUUGUUUCAUGACUGCAGUGUUUAGAAAUACAUCCAUUUUCUUAUUUUAAUGCAGAAUACUUUUAUCAGUUUGCGCUAUGUGCAUUGAUAGGAUGUUAUAAACAUAUUUUAAUCACUAACUGUCACUAAAACUUCAUAUUAUUGUUCAUUUUUGGUUGCCGGCUUAUCCCGCUACCAAAGUUACAACUGUAUUUCUGACAAUCAUAUAGCAUCUAUUAUUUUAUUCCUAAUCACAUUCGAAGGAUGUUAAUUUGCUACACAAAAUAGUCCCAUUCAUGAACAAUGAGGAUGAAUUAUCAAUAUACAAGCAGUCCUUAUUCAGUCUGCAUCCCCUCACAUUGACCAUUUAGAUUAUAUAAGAUCUAUCAAUGAUAAGGUAUUCAAGCCCAUGGUUACAUCACAAACUAGAUCAGGCAGAGUUUAUCUUAGAUAUGAGGCACAUUAAAUCUGUGUUUGUGUCUCAUUCAUGUAUAUUCAUAGAUUAGCAUUUAAACAGAAAAUAAAUCUACUAAAACACGCAACCAUCAGACAUUUCAAGGCUUUGAUUGUAAAAGAAGUCCGCACUAUUUGGUAUGUCAGUCGCUGUUUAAAUUUGGAACUUUCAAACACAGGAAUCCCCCGUUUUGUUGUAUCAAUCACAUCUUACCUAUCGAAAUAUGCCUCAUCAUUUGAUUUGCCACCACAAGAGAUAUGGUUUCUUUGUAUAGUACUGCUAACAUUUUGUUUUAUGUCAUUUUAUUCGUAAUUUUACUUUGUAAAAUUCCGCUUGGCGUAUUUUAGGAAACAUUUUCCUACCAAACUAUGAUUGGCUUAGAAAAUUCCUAAGUACAAUCUGAUUGAUUGAGGCUUCUCUCCUAAAUUCCUAAACGGAUCAAAGCUCAAUAGAGCAACAUGCCUUACUUUACUUAGGACAAUUGUGAUGGCGCCAUUAUCUAUAUUUGUCAACAAGACUAUCAUUCAACCCUAAAACAUUCUUAGUAAGCAAUUUAGGAAUAUUUUCUAAAUUUCGGAUUGCAGGUCAAUGAAUUAGCAUUAUUUGAAUAAAAAUUGUAGUUACAUUUAUAUGAAAGCAAAUUAGUACAAUUGAGAUUUUAUAGCUUUUAGGAAUAUGGUCUACUAUUUACUUAGGCAACGGUCCCAAUUUCAGAGCUGGCGCACUUAAUAAUUUACUUUCAUUAGGAUUUAGAAUUACUUUUUCGUGUGUUAUUGUCAGUAAUAAUGCAUAGUUGCAAUCAAUACAGAGUAUUACAACUGAAAUCGUUGUCGUCUUCUAUUCUUUGCUGCUAUCUGUGUAUUGAAAAAUCCCUAUCAAGUAGUCCUGCAUUUUGCAGCGUAUUUCGUUAAAGCAUCUUAACUCCCAACUGAAGCACGCUACAGUACGUAUUAUCUCAUUUAUCACAUGUACUCACGUGUUAGGUAUAUUACAGCGUACUAUGUAUUGCCAUUUUGUAUCUAUAUUUUUUUUAUUUUCUUGUAUGUAAAAUGCCCCCAUGUGCCUUGAAUUUCAAAUAAACCUUGAAACCUUAAAUCUACAAUAAGGAUUUAAGAAUUUAUUGUAAUCUAUAGAUCAUUUUAUUAUUUACUAGCCUUGUUUAAAGAUAUCAUGUAAAUUGUAAUCCAGAAUAUUCUAUUUUGUUCUGUAACAAUACUGAUAAACAGUGUGUGACAGUUAUUUUUAGAAAAGAUUGCCUUGAUUAUUCAAGAAUGUUUUUAUAGAUAUUUAAUGUUACAUGAAAAUUCUCGAACCUGCCAUGAUACAAUAAAUAGUGAGGUGUUUUAGGAUUAAAACAGAACCAAGUCUGUAGAUAUUUAUGAAACUUUCCUGUUUUUCCUUUAUAACAAAAUAUUACCAGUUUGGGUAUUUGAUAUUUUUGGAGGAUCAUUUGAUGGAUUUAUAUCAAACAUUUCUUGAUUUAAAAAAGAGUUAUAUUUGAAAGGAGGAAUGAUAGGAUUUGGACUAUCUAUACAUAUCAUUGGAUUUAACGGCUCUUAGACAGUUUUGAAAGUACUUAAAUUUGUGAAUAAAAUUUAUUAAUGUUAAUAGUUGAUGGCUUGUCUUUCUGUUACUUUUAUCUACUCUAACCAAAAAUUGUUUACUCUCUGACGUAACAUUAUACGCAAUAAACGUUUUAUUGUUGUUGCUUUU
Mercenaria mercenaria is the source of this 5626-nucleotide long non-coding RNA. RefSeq lists it as uncharacterized. NCBI's taxonomy places the organism in Eukaryota, Metazoa, Mollusca, Bivalvia, Venerida, Veneridae. The transcript has 2 exons. The record is from RefSeq and is a predicted model, not a curated record.